UCGAGAAUUUUUCACAAUGGGCGAAAGCCUGAUGGAGCGACGCCGCGUGGGGGAUGAAUGGCUUCGGCCCGUAAACCCCUGUCAUUCGCGAUCAACCCUUACUAUUUAAAAGAUGGUAAGCUGAUAGUAGCGGAAGAGGAAGGGACGGCUAACUCUGUGCCAGCAGCCGCGGUAAUACAGGGGUCCCAAGCGUUGUUCGGAUUCACUGGGCGUAAAGGGUGCGUAGGUGGUGAGGUAAGUCGGAUGUGAAAGCUCGGAGCUCAACUCCGAAAUGGCAUUGGAAACUACCUUGCUUGAGGAUUGGAGGGGGGACUGGAAUACUCGGUGUAGCAGUGAAAUGCGUAGAUAUCAAGUGGAACACCAGUGGCGAAGGCGAGUCCCUGGACAAUUCCUGACACUGAGGCACGAAAGCUAGGGGAGCAAACAG
This 427-nucleotide ribosomal RNA is filed under the name uncultured bacterium. RNAcentral describes it as "bacterial SSU rRNA". It matches the Rfam family "Bacterial small subunit ribosomal RNA", at positions 355 to 775 of the family's 1533-position model. The record is from RNAcentral.